RNAcentral lists this ribosomal RNA (287 nucleotides) under uncultured Bacteroidota bacterium. RNAcentral's name for it is "uncultured Bacteroidetes bacterium partial 16S ribosomal RNA". It matches the Rfam family "Bacterial small subunit ribosomal RNA", at positions 154 to 442 of the family's 1533-position model. The record is from RNAcentral. Lineage: Bacteria; Pseudomonadati; Bacteroidota.
AAAUGAAGAUUAAUCCCCCAUAGUCUCUUAUUAUGGCAUCAUAAAAAGAGUAAAGGUUACGGUAUAAGAUGAGUAUGCGUUCUAUUAGUUUGUUGGUGAGGUAACGGCUCGCCCGGACUACGAUAGAUAGGGGCCCUGAGAGGGGGAUCCCCCACACUGGUACUGAGACACGGACCAGACUCCUACGGGAGGCAGCAGUGAGGAAUAUUGGACAAUGGAGGCAACUCUGAUCCAGCCAUGCCGCGUGCAGGAAGACUGCCCUAUGGGUUGUUAAUUGCUUUUAUAUA